RNAcentral lists this non-coding RNA (29 nucleotides) under Homo sapiens (human). Lineage: Eukaryota; Metazoa; Chordata; Mammalia; Primates; Hominidae. The record is from RNAcentral.
AGAGAAUUAAGUGGGGCAGUAGAGAAGGC